RNAcentral lists this long non-coding RNA (287 nucleotides) under Mytilus galloprovincialis (Mediterranean mussel). The record is from RNAcentral. Lineage: Eukaryota; Metazoa; Mollusca; Bivalvia; Mytilida; Mytilidae.
GGGGGGUUAGGGGGGAGGGUUAGUGAAAAAACUAUAUGAAUUAAGUUUUUUAUCCUACAUUGAACUUUUAAUGUCUAGUGAAAUACCACAGGCACUUGUCUCAGAAAAAAAUCCUAUAUACCUUAGUAUAAGACAAAUAACGGAUACAAAACGGACACAGAACGGACGAGUAUUGUAAAAAAAACGGACGCUUACCGGACACUUCAUCCGUUGAACGUCCGUUCAAAGUUUUGAACAUGCUCAAAUUUUUCCAUCGGACAAAACGGACGUCGACUGAUAAAGCGGAC